GAUGAACGCUGGCGGCGUGCCUAACACAUGCAAGUCGAACGGAGACUACGCGGUGUGCGAGGAAUUAGCUUGCUAAGGAAUCAAACAUGCGUAGACUUAGUGGCGGACGGGUGAGUAACGCGUGGGUAACCUGCCCUAUAGAGUGGGAUAGCAGUUAGAAAUGACUGAUAAUACCACAUAAGACCACAGUACGGCAUCGUACAGGGGUCAAAGAUUUAUCGCUAUAGGAUGGACCCGCGUCUGAUUAGCUAGUUGGUGAGGUAACGGCCCACCAAGGCGACGAUCAGUAGCCGGCUUGAGAGAGUGACCGGUCACAUUGGGACUGAGACACGGCCCAAACUCC
RNAcentral lists this ribosomal RNA (343 nucleotides) under uncultured Coprococcus sp. Its description in RNAcentral is "bacterial SSU rRNA". It matches the Rfam family "Bacterial small subunit ribosomal RNA", at positions 28 to 339 of the family's 1533-position model. The record is from RNAcentral. Lineage: Bacteria; Bacillati; Bacillota; Clostridia; Lachnospirales; Lachnospiraceae.